Molecule: ribosomal RNA, 497 nt
Filed under: uncultured bacterium
Lineage: Bacteria
Description: partial 16S ribosomal RNA
Rfam family: Bacterial small subunit ribosomal RNA
Source: RNAcentral
GAUGAACGCUGGCGGCGUGCCUAAUACAUGCAAGUAGAACGCUGAAGGAAGGAGCUUGCUCUUUCCGGAUGAGUUGCGAACGGGUGAGUAACGCGUAGGUAACCUGCCUGGUAGCGGGAGAUAACUAUUGGAAACGAUAGCUAAUACCGCAUAACAGUAGAUGUUGCAUGAUAUCUACUUAAAAGGUGCAAUUGCACCACUACCAGAUGGACCUGCGUUGUAUUAGCUAGUUGGUGAGGUAACGGCUCACCAAGGCGACGAUACAUAGCCGACCUGAGAGGGUGAUCGGCCACACUGGGACUGAGACACGGCCCAGACUCCUACGGGAGGCAGCAGUAGGGAAUCUUCGGCAAUGGACGGAAGUCUGACCGAGCAACGCCGCGUGAGUGAAGAAGGUUUUCGGAUCGUAAAGCUCUGUUGUAAGAGAAGAACGAGUGUGAGAGUGGAAAGUUCACACUGUGACGGUAUCUUACCAGAAAGGGACGGCUAACUACGUG